UACGUAGGGGGCAAGCGUUAUCCGGAUUUACUGGGUGUAAAGGGAGCGUAGACGGCAUGGCAAGUCAGAUGUGAAAGCCCGGGGCUCAACCCCGGGACUGCAUUUGAAACUGUCAGGCUGGAGUGCAGGAGAGGUAAGUGGAAUUCCUAGUGUAGCGGUGAAAUGCGUAGAUAUUAGGAGGAACACCAAUGGCGAAGGCGGCUUACUGGACUGUAACUGACGUUGAGGCUCGAAAGCGUGGGGAGCAAACAGG
This 253-nucleotide ribosomal RNA is filed under the name uncultured bacterium. Its description in RNAcentral is "partial 16S ribosomal RNA". It matches the Rfam family "Bacterial small subunit ribosomal RNA", at positions 524 to 776 of the family's 1533-position model. The record is from RNAcentral.